UGUGUGUGGCUCAAUGGUAGGAUGCUUGCCUGGCAUGCAGGUGGCUCUGGGUUCAAUCCCCAGUACAGCAA
This 71-nucleotide transfer RNA is filed under the name Mesocricetus auratus (golden hamster). It matches the Rfam family "tRNA". From Rfam's summary of the family: Transfer RNA (tRNA) molecules are approximately 80 nucleotides in length. Their secondary structure includes four short double-helical elements and three loops (D, anti-codon, and T loops). Further hydrogen bonds mediate the characteristic L-shaped molecular structure. tRNAs have two regions of fundamental functional importance: the anti-codon, which is responsible for specific mRNA codon recognition, and the 3' end, to which the tRNAs corresponding amino acid is attached (by aminoacyl-tRNA synthetases). tRNAs cope with the degeneracy of the genetic code in two manners: having more than one tRNA (with a specific anti-codon) for a particular amino acid; and 'wobble' base-pairing, i.e. permitting non-standard base-pairing at the 3rd anti-codon position. The record is from Rfam by way of RNAcentral. Lineage: Eukaryota; Metazoa; Chordata; Mammalia; Rodentia; Cricetidae.